CCUACGGGAGGCAGCAGUGAGGAAUAUUGGUCAAUGGACGCGCGUCUGAACCAGCCAAGUAGCGUGAAGGAUGACUGCCCUAUGGGUUGUAAACUUCUUUUAUAAAGGAAUAAACCGAGGCACGUGUGCCUUUUUGCAUGUACUUUAUGACUAAGGAUCGGCUAACUCCGUGCCAGCAGCCGCGGUAAUACGGAGGAUCCGAGCGUUAUCCGGCUUUAUUGGGUUAAAAGGGAGCGUAUAUGGGUUGUUAAGUCAGUUGUGAAAGUUUUCGGCUCAACCCCGUCGUGGCGUUGAAAAUGAUGUUCUUGAGUGGGCGAGAAGUAUGCGGAAUGCGUGGUGUAGCGGUGAAAUGCAUAGAUAUCACGCAGAACUCCGAUUGCGAAGGCAGCAUACCGGCGCCCAACUGACGCUGAAGCACGAAAGCGUGGGUAUCGAACAGGAUUAGAUACCCGGGUAGUC
This 459-nucleotide ribosomal RNA is filed under the name uncultured bacterium. Its description in RNAcentral is "partial 16S ribosomal RNA". It matches the Rfam family "Bacterial small subunit ribosomal RNA", at positions 338 to 795 of the family's 1533-position model. The record is from RNAcentral.